This is an RNA transcript of Telopea speciosissima, 727 nucleotides long. It is a transcript of the gene named protein NONRESPONDING TO OXYLIPINS 2, mitochondrial-like, with no coding region annotated. NCBI's taxonomy places the organism in Eukaryota, Viridiplantae, Streptophyta, Magnoliopsida, Proteales, Proteaceae. The transcript is spliced from 4 exons. The record is from RefSeq and is a predicted model, not a curated record.
AUCAAACAGAGCCAAAGUCUUAAACCCUGGCGGAACCUACAAAACCCUCGCGGCAAUUUCUACAGUAUCUGUUUCGAAACAGAGAAAGGGAUGGCUUUGCGCAGUGGAUCGAUUGGGAGGUCGUUGAUCUCUACGGCUAGAGCUUCCUCACUUCGGUCACCACCGCCGCUACCACGCCUCCGUCCUCCACCACUCGCUUCUCCUCGCCGAACCUCUUUCCCCACCACCAGGACUAUGAGAGAGUUAGGAUGCAUGGAAUCGCUUAUGCCGCUGCACAGCGUGGUCGCUGCCGCCCGCCUCACUUCGCACCUCGCUGUCAACGCGCGUGCGUGCUGUGAGCUGUCUCAGGGAUGGAGUGGAGAAGAUGUGUGAUUCGCGAGGCUGUCAUGCAUCGGAAGGCGGGGGCAGUAAUGCCGCAUUGUAGGUACUUGAAUUGGUGUGGCUGUCUGAUCUGCACAGUGAGUUCUAAUAUGCUUUUGGGCAGUAAAAUAGAUUGUUAUAACACAUGGAAGCUUCUCCUUUGGAGUCUAUGAUAUUAGUGAGUUUGUGAACCUUCUCAUGGGGGAAAAAAACUUGGGAACUUCCUAUUUUCCUUUAUGGUUUGGGAACCAGCAAGCAUUUCUAGGUGAACCAUUCUGUGUUCAUGGCAUUCUCAUUUUCAGUAUUAUUGUUUUCGCAAUUUCCCUUCUACUCUGUUGUGUUAUAAUGUUUAUUGCAUUAAUGCUUC